CAUGCAGUCGAACGCGUGUAGCAAUACACGAGUGGCGCACGGGUGAGUAACGCGUGGAUAUCUGCCUUUUGGUUCGGAAUAACUCCGGGAAACUGGAGCUAAUACCGGAUGGUUCCUACGGGAUAAAGAUUUAUCGCCAAAAGAUGAGUCCGCGUACGAUUAGCUAGUUGGUGAGGUAAUGGCUCACCAAGGCGACGAUCGUUAGCUGGUCUGAGAGGACGAUCAGCCACACUGGGACUGAGACACGGCCCAGACUCCUACGGGAGGCAGCAGUGGGGAAUAUUGGACAAUGGGGGCAACCCUGAUCCAGCCAUGCCGCGUGAGUGAUGAAGGCCUUCGGGUUGUAAAGCUCUUUUGGCGGGGACGAUGAUGACGGUACCCGCAGAAUAAGCCCCGGCUAACUUCGUGCCAGCAGCCGCGGUAAGACGAAGGGGGCUAGCGUUGUUCGGAAUUACUGGGCGUAAAGCGAGUGUAGGUGGUUGUCAUAGUCAGGUGUGAAAGCCUUGAGCUCAACUCAAGAAAUGCACUUGAUACUGGGCGACUAGAGGACCGGAGAGGAUAGUGGAAUUCCCAGUGUAGUGGUGAAAUACGUAGAGAUUGGGAAGAACACCAGUGGCGAAGGCGGCUAUCUGGACGGUUUCUGACACUAA
This 650-nucleotide ribosomal RNA is filed under the name uncultured bacterium. RNAcentral's name for it is "bacterial SSU rRNA". It matches the Rfam family "Bacterial small subunit ribosomal RNA", at positions 54 to 749 of the family's 1533-position model. The record is from RNAcentral.